This 610-nucleotide long non-coding RNA is filed under the name Pan troglodytes (chimpanzee). RNAcentral describes it as "long non-coding RNA NONPTRT015056". Lineage: Eukaryota; Metazoa; Chordata; Mammalia; Primates; Hominidae. The record is from RNAcentral.
CACGCUCAAAGCCGCCGGCCGGGGUCGACAACUGCAGAGAGGGUCGGGAUAGGAAAUUGCGGGUAGCGGCAGAUGCGGGUCCCCAGGCAUCCCGGAGGUUCCCACAGGUCUGCAGUGGGCCUACUUUGCGAAAAGGGCCCGGCUGCGCCGAGCCUCGUUCAAAUCAGAUGCCAGAUAGUGUUUCUUGGGAUCCAUCCAAAUAGGGCCCUUGUUUCUCUUUGUGGGAGCCCUGGGCCUCCUUCCAGGCCGGAACCCAAGUGCUUAGGCAGCUGGGAAAGGCCGGUCCCCUUUUUCAGUUCUCUCGCGACCUCUAGCCACUUCCGGUUGCUAACGGUUCCCAAACAGCCCCCGAAAACGCUACGUGAGUUGGGCCCUGGGCCAGAGGCAGAAAACGGACGGAAGAAAAGGUCUGGCCGGAGAUGGGUCUCACUCUGUCACCCAGACUGGAGUGCAGUGAGUGGUGCGAUCAUAGCUCACUGCAGCCUGAAACUCCUGGGCUCAAGUGAUCCUCUCGCCUCAGCCUCCUGAGUAGCUGGAGCUACAGGUGUGAGCUACCCAGCAUGGCUCAUUUGAGAUUUCUGAGUAGAGAAGUAACAUGAUUAAACUUGGG